UGGGGAAUAUUGGGGCAAAUGGGGCGAAAGCCUGACCCAGCAACGCCGCGUGAGGGAAGAAGGUUUUCGGAUUGUAAACCUCUGUCCUUGGGGACGAAGGAAGUGACGGUACCCAAGGAGGAAGCCCCGGCUAACUACGUGCCAGCAGCCGCGGUAAUACGUAGGGGGCAAGCGUUAUCCGGAUUUACUGGGUGUAAAGGGAGCGUAGACGGAACGGCAAGUUUGAAGUGAAAUACCUGGGCUUAACCCGGGAACUGCUUUGAAAACUGUCGAUCUAGAGUGUCGGAGAGGUAAGUGGAAUUCCUGGUGUAGUAGUGAAAUGCGUAGAUAUCAGGAAGAACACCGGAGGCGAAGGCGGCUUACUGGACGAUAACUGACGUUGAGGCUCGAAAGCGUGGGGAGCAAACAGGAUUAGAUACCCUGGUAGU
RNAcentral lists this ribosomal RNA (428 nucleotides) under uncultured Oribacterium sp. Its description in RNAcentral is "bacterial SSU rRNA". It matches the Rfam family "Bacterial small subunit ribosomal RNA", at positions 355 to 794 of the family's 1533-position model. Lineage: Bacteria; Bacillati; Bacillota; Clostridia; Lachnospirales; Lachnospiraceae. The record is from RNAcentral.